UACGGAGGGUGCAAGCGUUGUCCGGAAUCACUGGGUGUAAAGGGUGUGCAGGCGGGACUGUAAGUCAGAAGUGAGAGCCCACGGCUUAACCGUGGAAGUGCUUUUGAUACUGCAGUUCUUGAGUCCCGGAGAGGUCGUCGGAAUUCGUGGUGUAGCGGUGAAAUGCGUAGAUAUCACGAGGAACACCAGAAGCGUAAGCGGAUGGCUAGACGGGAACUGACGCUGAGGCACGAAAGCGUGGGGAGCAAACAGG
This 253-nucleotide unclassified non-coding RNA is filed under the name uncultured Bacteroidota bacterium. RNAcentral's name for it is "uncultured Bacteroidetes bacterium contains 16S-23S intergenic spacer region". It matches the Rfam family "Bacterial small subunit ribosomal RNA", at positions 524 to 776 of the family's 1533-position model. The record is from RNAcentral. Lineage: Bacteria; Pseudomonadati; Bacteroidota.